Molecule: ribosomal RNA, 371 nt
Filed under: uncultured bacterium
Lineage: Bacteria
Description: bacterial SSU rRNA
Rfam family: Bacterial small subunit ribosomal RNA
Source: RNAcentral
GGGGGGGGCAAGCGUUGUUCGGAAUUACUGGGCGUAAAGGGCGUGUAGGCGGCCAACUAAGUCCGACGUGAAAUCCCCMGGCUUAACCUGGGAACUGCGUCGGAUACUGGAUGGCUUGAAUCCGGGAGAGGGAUGCAGAAUUCCAGGUGUAGCGGUGAAAUGCGUAGAUAUCUGGAGGAAUACCGGUGGCGAAGGCGGCAUCCUGGACCGGCAUUGACGCUGAAGCGCGAAAGCUAGGGGAGCAAACGGGACUAGAUACCCCGGUAGUCCUAGCCCUAAACGAUGAAUGCUUGGUGUGGCGGGUAUCGAUCCCUGCCGUGCCRAAGCUAACGCAUUAAGCAUUCCGCCUGGGGAGUACGGUCGCAAGACUG